GCUCGCAUGGUCUAGUGGUAUAACGUCUCCUUCACACGGACAAGGUCCUCAGUUCGAUCCUGAGUGCGAGCA
RNAcentral lists this transfer RNA (72 nucleotides) under Blyttiomyces helicus. It matches the Rfam family "tRNA". Rfam says of the family: Transfer RNA (tRNA) molecules are approximately 80 nucleotides in length. Their secondary structure includes four short double-helical elements and three loops (D, anti-codon, and T loops). Lineage: Eukaryota; Fungi; Chytridiomycota; Chytridiomycetes. The record is from Rfam by way of RNAcentral.